This is a small nuclear RNA of Heterocephalus glaber (naked mole-rat), 107 nucleotides long. Lineage: Eukaryota; Metazoa; Chordata; Mammalia; Rodentia; Bathyergidae. The record is from Ensembl.
GUGCUCGCUUUGGCAGCACAUAUACUAAAAUUGCAAUGAUACGGAAAAGAUUAGCAUGACCCCUGCUCAAGGAUGACAUGCAAAUUUGUGAAGUGUUCCAUAUUUUU